This 448-nucleotide ribosomal RNA is filed under the name Caulerpa mexicana. Its description in RNAcentral is "bacterial SSU rRNA". It matches the Rfam family "Eukaryotic small subunit ribosomal RNA". The record is from RNAcentral. Lineage: Eukaryota; Viridiplantae; Chlorophyta; Ulvophyceae; Bryopsidales; Caulerpaceae.
CGCAGCGCCAUACAAUGUGGCGCACAACGAGUUUCCUAGGCCGAUAGGAUUCUCCUAGUCUACAUCUCUCAGGAGAUCGAGGCAACAUUGUCCAACAGUCAGACGUUUCGAUCAUGUGUCGUUGCUGAGAGUUGUUGCUGUGUUGUUCUCAGCUAGGAGACACUGGGCAAUCUGAGAGAGCGCUACGUGACUGGGCUAGACUUUUGUAAUUGUUGGUCUUGAACGAGGAAUGCCUAGUAAUCGUAGGUCAUUAUCCUGCGAUGAUUAUGUCCCUGCCCUUUGUACACACCGCCCGUCGCUCCUGCCGUGGCUCGUGCCGGUGAAGAGGGGGAGGCAGCGUCAACGGAGUAACAUCUGAUUGUACGUGGAACCCCUCUGAACCUUCGCGAGUAGAGGAAGGAGAAGUCGUAACAAGGUUUUCGUAGGUGAACCUGCGARAGGAUCAUUA